GGGCCAGUAGCUCAGCUAGGCAGAGCGAUCGGCUCUUAACCGAUUGGUCGAGGGUUCAAAUCCCUUCUGGCCCGCCA
RNAcentral lists this transfer RNA (77 nucleotides) under Marine Group III euryarchaeote CG-Bathy1. RNAcentral describes it as "tRNA-Lys". It matches the Rfam family "tRNA". Rfam says of the family: Transfer RNA (tRNA) molecules are approximately 80 nucleotides in length. Their secondary structure includes four short double-helical elements and three loops (D, anti-codon, and T loops). Lineage: Archaea; Methanobacteriati; Thermoplasmatota; Thermoplasmata; Candidatus Thermoprofundales. The record is from RNAcentral.